CUACGGGGCGCAGCAGUCGAGAAUCAUUCACAAUGGGGGAAACCCUGAUGAUGCAACGCCGCGUGGAGGAUGAAGGCCCUCGGGUCGUAAACUCCUGUCAUCAGAGAGUAAGCCUUGUUCGUUAAUAGCGUGCAAGGUUGAUAGUAUCUGAAGAGGAAGGGACGGCUAACUUCGUGCCAGCAGCCGCGGUAAUACGAAGGUCCCAAGCGUUGUUCGGAAUCACUGGGCGUAAAGAGUAUGUAGGCGGUUCGGAAAGUCAGAUGUGAAGGCCCGGGGCUCAACCCCGGAACUGCAUCCGAACUUCCAAACUAGAGUAAUGGAGGGGUAGCUGGAAUUCUCGGUGUAGCAGUGAAAUGCGUAGAUAUCGAGAGGAACACUCGUGGCGAAGGCGAGCUACUGGACAUUUACUGACGCUGAGAUACGAAGGCCAGGGUAGCGAAAGGGAUUAGAUACCCGAGUAGUC
Molecule: ribosomal RNA, 463 nt
Filed under: uncultured bacterium
Lineage: Bacteria
Description: partial 16S ribosomal RNA
Rfam family: Bacterial small subunit ribosomal RNA
Source: RNAcentral